CGGUCUGAACAAUAAACAAGAAGCCGUUGAAGAAGGGGGUGCUGCCCGCAGCUGACCUCUCUUUGUGUCACCGGGGAGCAGGAUGCCUGACUGACAACAGAGGCCGUGUCUGCAACGUCCUGCUUCCCAGAGCAGGGAUGCUUCAGUGCAUGUUUCUUCGGUGCCAGGGAGACCAACCUCCAGUGCUAACGCAAGGUCUGCUGUGAAAUCCAGCUCCACUCCAACCUGCAGAAGUAAAUCUGGAUGCGGGAGCUCCCUCAGGAUUUUUGCUCCUGGUGAUUCCGCUCUCAGACAGCUGGAAAAGAGAAGAAAGAGAAGAAUCCCAACUUCUUUUUUUCUUUUUUUUUUUUCCCCCAUUGUGUAAGUAUACAGAUGUGCUCUAGGAUCAGGUAGACGUUUUGUGAAGGCUCAGGCGCAGUUUCUGUACUGAAGCAGUGUGUUCUUUCUUGUCAAGGCACAAACCUUUGAUUUUAAGGAAAUUGCCAGUUCAUUUUCUGUUUCUUUUUAGAGACCCUCAAGAUAAACCCUUUUUUCAGUGCAGUUCCAACCUCCUGAUUUUCAGACACUAAUGUCUCUUCUCUCCCAUCUGCCUCCAGCCCCUUGCUGCCGGCACCGCCCAGGAAGGCCACGCUGGAGCUUUGAUCCAGGGCUGCGCUAUCCAACCCCUCCGUGUUUCAGGCACUGAAUGUCAAGAAUUGCCAUCCCGAUGAAGUCCUGGGCAGGCUGGGAGAGCCCCAUUCCAUCGUUCUUCAGCAUCCUGUCUCUGGGAGGUGAAGAGGUGCCGUUGUGAUCUACAAAAGCUCAGGCAGAGCGUCUCUGCCGCGAGAGGCGCAGCUGGGGAAGGCUGCCGGGGAGCUGGGCGCAGCAGGGGCUGCCCGAAUCCCCAGAACCUGGGGGGCUCUGUCAGAUUUCCUCAUCAUCUGGCACCUGUGGAGUAUUCUUAUCAGCAGUACAGUAUAACAGCUUUGCAGUUUCUUGCUUGAACGCUGGUAUCAGACCUACCCACCUCCUCGGUGACCUGUGCUCCGUACCGGCCAUCCUUUGUGCAGGAGGUGCGACCCCAGGACAGCUGCAUCUCCAGGAACGUGGACAGGCAAAGAGCAGCCAGUGCUGGGAGACCUCCGUGGUGCAAGGCUAG
This 1138-nucleotide long non-coding RNA is filed under the name Anser cygnoides (Swan goose). Its description in RNAcentral is "lncRNA (ENSACDG00005019174.1)". The record is from RNAcentral. Lineage: Eukaryota; Metazoa; Chordata; Aves; Anseriformes; Anatidae.